UCUUUCCGGGGUAAUAUCCUGGGGAGCUGACGGUACCACUGAAGGAAGCACCGGCUAACUCCGUGCCAGCAGCCGCGGUAAUACGGAGGGUGCAAGCGUUAUUCGGAAUUACUGGGCGUAAAGGGCGCGCAGGCGGCCUUGUAAGUCAGUUGUGAAAGCCCGGGGCUCAACCUCGGAAGUGCGACUGAAACUGCAGGGCUUGAGUAUGGUAGAGGGAAGUGGAAUUCCAGGUGUAGCGGUGAAAUGCGUAGAUAUCUGGAGGAACACCGGUGGCGAAGGCGACUUCCUGGACCAAAACUGACGCUGAGGCGCGAAGGCGUGGGUAGCAAACAGGAUUAGAUACCCUGGUAGUCCACGCAGUAAACGUUGAUCACUAGGUGCUGCGGGUAUUGAUACUUGCAGUGCCGGAGCUAACGCAUUAAGUGAUCCGCCUGGGGAGUACGGUCGCAAGAUUAAAACUCAAAGGAAUUGACGGAUU
RNAcentral lists this ribosomal RNA (478 nucleotides) under uncultured bacterium. Its description in RNAcentral is "bacterial SSU rRNA". It matches the Rfam family "Bacterial small subunit ribosomal RNA", at positions 432 to 919 of the family's 1533-position model. The record is from RNAcentral.